This 89-nucleotide transfer RNA is filed under the name Caulobacterales bacterium. Its description in RNAcentral is "tRNA-Leu". It matches the Rfam family "tRNA". From Rfam's summary of the family: Transfer RNA (tRNA) molecules are approximately 80 nucleotides in length. Their secondary structure includes four short double-helical elements and three loops (D, anti-codon, and T loops). Further hydrogen bonds mediate the characteristic L-shaped molecular structure. tRNAs have two regions of fundamental functional importance: the anti-codon, which is responsible for specific mRNA codon recognition, and the 3' end, to which the tRNAs corresponding amino acid is attached (by aminoacyl-tRNA synthetases). tRNAs cope with the degeneracy of the genetic code in two manners: having more than one tRNA (with a specific anti-codon) for a particular amino acid; and 'wobble' base-pairing, i.e. permitting non-standard base-pairing at the 3rd anti-codon position. Lineage: Bacteria; Pseudomonadati; Pseudomonadota; Alphaproteobacteria; Caulobacterales. The record is from RNAcentral.
GCGGGCGUGGCGGAAUUGGUAGACGCAACGGACUUAAAAUCCGUAGGGCCGCAAGGCCCGUGUCGGUUCGACCCCGACCGCCCGCACCA